Long non-coding RNA from Candoia aspera, 1048 nucleotides. RefSeq lists it as uncharacterized. The transcript is spliced from 3 exons. NCBI's taxonomy places the organism in Eukaryota, Metazoa, Chordata, Lepidosauria, Squamata, Candoiidae. The record is from RefSeq and is a predicted model, not a curated record.
UGAGUAGAAAAGUGGGGUACAAAUUAAAAGAAUGGAAUUGCUCCAGAUUUCAUCCAAAGUCUUAAACUGCUUUCUAGUUCAGGGCUGCAAAACAAUGGCUAAAUAGUUAUGACCCAGAUGGUGGCUAAGCAGAUUUUUCAUAUUCAUCAAUGCAGCAAGAAAAGAAGAAAAAUAAGUAGGAUACUAAAAUGGGUACAGUAAGUGCCCAACCUCAGCUUCAAACUGCAAGUCCAUGCCUUGAGUUUUGCUCUGGAAAUUUAACAGAGGCUUCUGGAGGAGGUAUGGAGAACUGAAGGCAUCUCUGUGAAAGUGGAGCUGGCAACCACGGCAAAGACCAAGGAACUGAAACUGGACACUAAAGGGGACUAAAGAUUCUAAGCAGAAGAAAAAAAUAAUCAGAAGCCUGUUCUUUAUGUCAGUUAAUGCUUGGACUUACAAAAUGACACAAAAUGUGACAUUGGAAAUAUUAGAUGAGAUCUUUGAAGAAUAGAGCCAGGAAUUAGUAACCACAAUAUCAACACUGUCAGUGAUGAUGUCUGCUUCUAUGGAUAGACUAUAUCCAAAAGCUGUUAAUGAAGGAAUGAAAGAUGUGGAACAAAUUUUAUCUGACAAGACAGAGAAAGUACGGAAAGUGGAACUACAAUUACAGGCCAAGAGAAUUAUUUGGAAAAGGAAGUUUUACUGGAUAUACAAAAGAAACUGGCUGAAGUUUUAAAAAUUAAAAGGGAAAUACAAAUGAUAAACCAAGAGAAUGACCUGGCAAAUGUUUUCUUAUUGGAUCUACAAAAGAGGCUUGUUAAAGCCUUGAAGAAAUCUGUGUUGUGGGAUUAAGAAGAAUUGAAGAGAAAUCAAAUCCUAUGACAAUAUUUGAUUGGAUUAAAGAUUAAGACUGUUAGAAGUAAAAGGAAGGAAUACAAAGUUGUUUUAUUUGAUCAAGGUUAAAAUAAGACUUUUUUUUUUUUUUUGCAAAGUUCCGGCAAUCUUUUAUGGAGUUUUUGCUGACACCAGGAUUGAAAAGUUGAUAUUUUAUAGAUUUGCUUAUAGAUAA